GCAAGUCGAGCGAGAAAUUUAUUAUUGAUCCUUCGGGAGAUUUAGUAAAUGGAAAGCGGCGGACGGGUGAGUAACGCGUGGGUAACCUGCCUUGUACUGGGGGAUAACAUAUUGAAAAGUAUGCUAAUACCGCAUAAGCGCACAGUAUCGCAUGAUACAGUGCGAAAAACUCCGGUGGUACAAGAUGGACCCGCGUCUGAUUAGCUAGUUGGUGAGGUAACGGCUCACCAAGGCAACGAUCAGUAGCCGGCCUGAGAGGGUGAAC
RNAcentral lists this ribosomal RNA (265 nucleotides) under uncultured bacterium. RNAcentral describes it as "partial 16S ribosomal RNA". It matches the Rfam family "Bacterial small subunit ribosomal RNA", at positions 57 to 305 of the family's 1533-position model. The record is from RNAcentral.